RNAcentral lists this ribosomal RNA (426 nucleotides) under Salmonella enterica subsp. enterica serovar Typhimurium. RNAcentral's name for it is "partial 23S ribosomal RNA". It matches the Rfam family "Bacterial large subunit ribosomal RNA", at positions 1 to 457 of the family's 2925-position model. The record is from RNAcentral. Lineage: Bacteria; Pseudomonadati; Pseudomonadota; Gammaproteobacteria; Enterobacterales; Enterobacteriaceae.
GGGUUGUGAGGUUAAGCGACUAAGCGUACACGGUGGAUGCCCUGGCAGUCAGAGGCGAUGAAGGGCGUGCUAAUCUGCGAUAAGCGCCGGUAAGGUGAUAUGAACCGUUAUAACCGGCGAUACCCGAAUGGGGAAACCCAGUGUGAUUCGUCACACUAUCAUUAACUGAAUCCAUAGGUUAAUGAGGCGAACCGGGGGAACUGAAACAUCUAAGUACCCCGAGGAAAAGAAAUCAACCGAGAUUCCCCCAGUAGCGGCGAGCGAACGGGGAGGAGCCCAGAGCCUGAAUCAGCAUGUGUGUUAGUGGAAGCGUCUGGAAAGGCGCGCGAUACAGGGUGACAGCCCCGUACACAAAAGCGCAUGUGCUGUGAGCUCGAUGAGUAGGGCGGGACACGUGGUAUCCUGUCUGAAUAUGGGGCGACCAUC